UACGGGGGGGGCAAGCGUUGUUCGGAAUUACUGGGCGUAAAGGGCUCGUAGGCGGCCAACUAAGUCAGACGUGAAAUCCCUCGGCUUAACCGGGGAACUGCAUCUGAUACUGGAUGGCUUGAGUUCGGGAGAGGGAUGCGGAAUUCCAGGUGUAGCGGUGAAAUGAGUAGAUAUCAGGAGGAACACCGGUGGCGAAGGCGGGUCUCUGGGCCGAUACUGACGCUGAGGAGCGAAAGCGUGGGGAGCGAACAGG
Molecule: ribosomal RNA, 253 nt
Filed under: uncultured bacterium
Lineage: Bacteria
Description: partial 16S ribosomal RNA
Rfam family: Bacterial small subunit ribosomal RNA
Source: RNAcentral